This 284-nucleotide long non-coding RNA is filed under the name Elaeis guineensis (African oil palm). RNAcentral describes it as "long non-coding RNA (EGUI_LNC024473)". The record is from RNAcentral. Lineage: Eukaryota; Viridiplantae; Streptophyta; Magnoliopsida; Arecales; Arecaceae.
AUCUACUCGGGGUGGAUAGCUACUGUAUGUGUUAGAAAAUGGGUAGGUCGAGGUAACGAAGGAAGCUCACAUGACAGACAGACCAUACAACAGACUGAGUGCAAAUAGCUCAGCUCCACAUACUUCAGCUCGAUGCUUGGGUCGGCAAUCAUGAUGAUAGCUCGCUGGCUUGAGAUAUUUUAUGAUAACAUGCCGAUCUGAGAUAUUCACGAUACCACUGUAUCACUAUCUUCCUACUCUUGAGUCUAAGAAUUAGAUAAAAAGAGUACCUCUAAAAUUAUACC